AGUCGUAACAAGGUCUCCGUUGGUGAACCAGCGGAGGGAUCAUUACCGAGUUAUACAACUCCCAAACCCACUGUGAACCUUACCUCAGUUGCCUCGGCGGGAACGCCCCGGCCGCCUGCCCCCGCGCCGGCGCCGGACCCAGGCGCCCGCCGCAGGGACCCCAAACUCUCUUGCAUUACGCCCAGCGGGCGGAAUUUCUUCUCUGAGUUGCACAAGCAAAAACAAAUGAAUCAAAACUUUCAACAACGGAUCUCUUGGUUCUGGCAUCGAUGAAGAACGCAGCGAAAUGCGAUAAGUAAUGUGAAUUGCAGAAUUCAGUGAAUCAUCGAAUCUUUGAACGCACAUUGCGCCCGCCAGCAUUCUGGCGGGCAUGCCUGUUCGAGCGUCAUUUCAACCCUCGAGCCCCCCCGGGGGCCUCGGUGUUGGGGGACGGCACACCAGCCGCCCCCGAAAUGCAGUGGCGACCCCGCCGCAGCCUCCCCUGCGUAGUAGCACACACCUCGCACCGGAGCGCGGAGGCGGUCACGCCGUAAAACGCCCAACUUUCUUAGAGUUGACCUCGGAUCAGGUAGGAAUACCCGCUGAACUUAAGCAUAUCAAUAAGCGGAGGA
This 611-nucleotide unclassified non-coding RNA is filed under the name Purpureocillium lilacinum. RNAcentral's name for it is "sequence contains 18S rRNA gene, ITS1, 5.8S rRNA gene, ITS2, 28S rRNA gene". The stretch from base 235 to 388 matches the Rfam family "5.8S ribosomal RNA". The record is from RNAcentral. Lineage: Eukaryota; Fungi; Ascomycota; Sordariomycetes; Hypocreales; Ophiocordycipitaceae.